GGAGAGAUGACCGAGUUGGCCGAAGGUGCACGACUGGAAAUCGUGUGUGUAGUUUAUAGCUGCACCGUGGGUUCGAAUCCCACUCUCUCCGCCA
This 94-nucleotide transfer RNA is filed under the name Pseudomonadota bacterium. RNAcentral describes it as "Proteobacteria bacterium tRNA-Ser". It matches the Rfam family "tRNA". From Rfam's summary of the family: Transfer RNA (tRNA) molecules are approximately 80 nucleotides in length. Lineage: Bacteria; Pseudomonadati; Pseudomonadota. RNAcentral also lists the same sequence under 1 other name. The record is from RNAcentral.